CAAAAACAUCUCCUCUUGAUAACUUGAUAAUCAUAAGAGGUAGGCCCUGCCCAGUGCCACGGUAAACGGCGGCCGUUCGUCACGGUUUUAAUGUAGCGCAAUUGCUUGCCCUUUAAUUGGGGGAGGGAGGAACGGGUUGACGUUAGGGGGUCUGUCUCCUAAGCAGUAGGUAGAAAUUUUCUUCUUAGUGAAAAGCCUAAGAUAUUUUUAAAAGACGAGAAGACCCUGUCGAGCUUAAUUAGCUCCGAAAGCGUUAUUUUAGGGGCGAAAUUUAGUUGGGGCAACUCUGGAGAAAACAAAACCUCUGGGCUUUAAAUGACGACCCAUUAAAUAAUGAGUACCAGAAGAAGUUACCGCAGGGAUAACAGCGCGGCGCUCCCAGCGAGGUCACAUCAAAGGGAGAAAGUGCGACCUCGAUGUUGGAUUAGAAUUGCUCAUUGGCGCAGCAGCUAAAAGAGUGGGUCUGUUCGCCCCUUAAAAUUCUACAUGAUCUGAGUUCA
This 500-nucleotide ribosomal RNA is filed under the name Microcardium pazianum. RNAcentral describes it as "partial 16S ribosomal RNA". It matches the Rfam family "Bacterial large subunit ribosomal RNA", at positions 1808 to 2613 of the family's 2925-position model. The record is from RNAcentral. Lineage: Eukaryota; Metazoa; Mollusca; Bivalvia; Cardiida; Cardiidae.